AUCCGGUGGUUCUGAAUGGAAGGGCCAUCGCUCAACGGAUAAAAGGUACUCCGGGGAUAACAGGCUGAUACCGCCCAAGAGUUCAUAUCGACGGCGGUGUUUGGCACCUCGAUGUCGGCUCAUCACAUCCUGGGGCUGAAGUAGGUCCCAAGGGUAUGGCUGUUCGCCAUUUAAAGUGGUACGCGAGCUGGGUUUAGAACGUCGUGAGACAGUUCGGUCCCUAUCUGCCGUGGGCGCUGGAGAACUGAGGGGGGCUGCUCCUAGUACGAGAGGACCGGAGUGGACGCAUCACUGGUGUUCGGGUUGUCAUGCCAAUGGCACUGCCCGGUAGCUAAAUGCGGAAGAGAUAAGUGCUGAAAGCAUCUAAGCACGAAACUUGCCCCGAGA
Molecule: ribosomal RNA, 387 nt
Filed under: Salmonella enterica subsp. enterica serovar Bonn
Lineage: Bacteria; Pseudomonadati; Pseudomonadota; Gammaproteobacteria; Enterobacterales; Enterobacteriaceae
Description: partial 23S ribosomal RNA
Rfam family: Bacterial large subunit ribosomal RNA
Source: RNAcentral